RNAcentral lists this transfer RNA (72 nucleotides) under Bos taurus (domestic cattle). It matches the Rfam family "tRNA". Rfam says of the family: Transfer RNA (tRNA) molecules are approximately 80 nucleotides in length. Lineage: Eukaryota; Metazoa; Chordata; Mammalia; Artiodactyla; Bovidae. The record is from Rfam by way of RNAcentral. RNAcentral also lists the same sequence under 5 other names.
UCCUUAAUAGCUUAGUUGGUAAAGAAUCCGCCUACAAUGCAGGAAACCCAUGUUCGAUUCCUGGGUCAGGAA